GCUCAGGAUGAACGCUGGCGGCGUGCCUAAUACAUGCAAGUCGAGCGAACAGAUAAGGAGCUUGCUCCUUUGACGUUAGCGGCGGACGGGUGAGUAACACGUGGGUAACCUACCUAUAAGACUGGAAUAACUCCGGGAAACCGGGGCUAAUGCCGGAUAACAUGUUGAACCGCAUGGUUCUACAGUGAAAGACGGUCUUGCUGUCACUUAUAGAUGGACCCGCGCCGUAUUAGCUAGUUGGUGGGGUAACGGCCUACCAAGGCGACGAUACGUAGCCGACCUGAGAGGGUGAUCGGCCACACUGGAACUGAGACACGGUCCAGACUCCUACGGGAGGCAGCAGUAGGGAAUCUUCCGCAAUGGGCGAAAGCCUGACGGAGCAACGCCGCGUGAGUGAUGAAGGUCUUCGGAUCGUAAAGCUCUGUUGUUAGGGAAGAACAAAUGUGUAAGUAACUGUGCACAUCU
Molecule: ribosomal RNA, 465 nt
Filed under: Staphylococcus pseudintermedius
Lineage: Bacteria; Bacillati; Bacillota; Bacilli; Caryophanales; Staphylococcaceae
Description: bacterial SSU rRNA
Rfam family: Bacterial small subunit ribosomal RNA
Source: RNAcentral